RNAcentral lists this ribosomal RNA (498 nucleotides) under uncultured bacterium. Its description in RNAcentral is "partial 16S ribosomal RNA". It matches the Rfam family "Bacterial small subunit ribosomal RNA", at positions 28 to 507 of the family's 1533-position model. The record is from RNAcentral.
GACGAACGCUGGCGGCGUGCCUAAUACAUGCAAGUCGAGCGGACGAUUCGAAAGCUUGCUUUUGAAUCGUUAGCGGCGGACGGGUGAGUAACACGUGGGCAACCUGCCCUGUAGACGGGGAUAACACCGAGAAAUCGGUGCUAAUACCGGAUAACACGAAAUGUCGCAUGACGUUUCGUUGAAAGGCGGCGCAAGCUGCCGCUACAGGAUGGGCCCGCGGCGCAUUAGCUAGUUGGUGAGGUAACGGCUCACCAAGGCGACGAUGCGUAGCCGACCUGAGAGGGUGAUCGGCCACACUGGGACUGAGACACGGCCCAGACUCCUACGGGAGGCAGCAGUAGGGAAUCUUCCGCAAUGGACGAAAGUCUGACGGAGCAACGCCGCGUGAGCGAAGAAGGCCUUCGGGUCGUAAAGCUCUGUUGUUAGGGAAGAACAAGUAACGUAGUAACUGACGUUACUAUGACGGUACCUAACGAGAAAGCCACGGCUAACUACGUG